Oncorhynchus keta (chum salmon) is the source of this 2838-nucleotide long non-coding RNA. RefSeq lists it as uncharacterized. The record is from RefSeq and is a predicted model, not a curated record. The transcript has 3 exons. Lineage: Eukaryota; Metazoa; Chordata; Actinopteri; Salmoniformes; Salmonidae.
AUGAGUGGGCUGGAAGUGUCGAGAGAUGAGUUUGGAUUGGUCUGCGGUGUAGCACCUUGUGUCUAUAAAAUGAGCUGCUCGUAAUGUGUAGAUAGUCCUUUCUACUGCAGUUUUUUUCUACUGCAGUUUUUUUUCUCCAAAAGAUAUAACGUUAUCCAUGGAGACAUACAAAUGUUGCUACUGCUCUCAAUAACAUUGCUGCCCUGAAUUUAUCAAGCACUAUCGACAAAGGUCAGUGGGAAAAAGUUGUAAUGGACUACUUUCUGGAGGACGAUCGUGCCAUGCUGACUCUCUCUGACUCUGAAAAUGAAUCAGGCGAUGAGGAAAUCCCUGAUUUAGGUAAAAACAUUUUAAUUGAAGAAAACAUUCUAGAGUCUUCUGAUGACAGUGAUGGAGAAGAAAUGGCGACAAUCAACAGUGUUGUUGUCACGGAAGAAGUUAACUUUAGUUUUGAAAUCUGUGGAAUUUCUGGUAGAAUCAGUAUGAUAAGGAGAUUAAUGGAAUUCUGCUGUUUGAUUGCAAAUGCAUAAGGAGUCGAAAAGAACACAGAAUGCUGUUGUGUAUAACACAUGUAUCCGGAUUACAUAUUCAAACUAAGGAAAACCAUGGUAUCGGUGACAGAGAUGGAGAAAGAUCUGAUGAUUACGGUAUUGCACAUGCAUCACGCCUAACUGUCCUCCACAAGUCAUACAAAGAGAAUAGUAUAAUCCCUCCCAUCAAAAAGAGAGCUGGCCCAAGCAAGCACAGGUUACACCUGAAGCAUGAGGACUUGCAGCGAGUGGUGAACUUCAUCAACAGCUGCAGAGGAUAAUGCAAUAGUAUUACCAGGAUGCCACCCAGGACACAAACACUUUGGUAGAAAGUGAACACUUUGUCUGAGAUUGCUGGUGUUGUGAAGGACAGCACUGUGACAGGGGUCAACAUCUCAGCUGGUUGGACUGGAGGAUGGUACGGUGCUGGUGGAAAGCUAUGGCUGGCAACAACACCUGAUUCCGUCAUUCAGGCAGCUGCCACAGAUCAAGCAGUGCCAGCACUUCAGCUUCAAUGCUAUGGAGCCUGGUCUUGUUAUCGCCAAUGAGCGUUCGGACUCAGUCGGGACCAGGUUUCAGCUGCUGCUCACUGCUGACAUCCUUCCUCCCAUAGAUGGUCUGCCUGUACAAGCACCACCUGGACUGGACACAGCUAGACAAAUGUAUCUUUUUGAGAAGAUCAAGGAGUUUUGCGACGAAGAGGUUGACAUCACAUGCCCUGCACCAAAGUCAAGGGCAGGACAGAAACAGGCUCUCCGAACAUAGAUUCCCUGUUCAUGCGUGGUUCAGACGGACCAGUCAUCAGCACUAUCUGCAGUGCCUCUAUUCAAAUGACUCACUCCAUACGUUGCUUCUACUAUUUAUUUUUUUUAUCCUGCUGCUCAGCCACUUUACCUCUGAUUAUAUGCAUACAACUACCUUGUAUAUCACUAUCGUUAUUGAUAUUGUUUGUGUACAUACUGCAUAUUAUUUUAUUUAUAUUGACACUACCGGUCAAAAGUUUCAGAACACCUACUCAUUAAAGGGUUAUUCUUUAUAGAGAAAAUAGUAAAAAUAAAGAAAAGCCCUUGAAUGAGUAGGUGUUCUAAAACUUUUGACCGGUACUGUAGUUGUGUUAAAGGGGGAAUAAUUGAACAAAAUGAUCUCCUCCUCCUCCAAAUGGCUGUGAAAUUACCUCAGGGCAUCAGGGAAUUAUAUUGUUGUGGAAAGCAACAUCAGUCCAUCAGUCUCUCCACUUCAGAGGGAUCAGGUAGUAGAAUGGACCCUCCAUCCUAGGCCCCUGUCAACGUGAUUAAAACCCCUUAACCGGGUGGCACCAACUGGAUCCAGACAACAACAGGGGUGACCCCGAUCCCCCUGCACUGAGCACAACAUCCCUGGGCUCCAUGCACUGUGCCUGGCCAUGGCAGGAAGGAGGGAGACUCUCUGGAGCACAACACAACUCUCAAACGAGAAGCGGAGGGAACAGGCAGAGGAAGAGGGAGAAAGAGCAUAAAUUGUUGAUGAAAAUGCGUGAACGCGUGAACAUUUACAGUGAAAGGAAAAAAGUAUGUGAACCCUUUAGAAUUGCCUGGAAUUCUGCAUAAAUUGUUAAUCAAAUUUGAUCUGAUCUUCAUCUUUAAAAAAAUAUAUAUUUCACCUUUAUUUAACCAGAUAGGCUAGUUGAGAUCAAGUUCUCAUUUACAACUGCGACCUGGCCAAGAUAAAGCAAAGCAGUGCGACAAACAGCACAGAGUUACACAUGAAAUAAACAAACAGUCAAUAAUACAAUAGAGAAAGUCUAUAUACAUGUAUUCAAAUGAGGUAGGAUAAGGGGGGUGAGGCAAUAAAUAGGCCAUAGUGGCAAAAUUAUUACAGUAUGGCAAAUUCAACACUGGGAUGAUAGAUGUGCAGAAGAUGAAUGUGCAAGUAGCGAUACUGGGGUGCAAAGGAGCAAAAUAAAUAACAAUAUGGUGAUGAGGUAGUUGGUUGGUGUCACGUUCUGACCUUUAUUUCCUUUGUUUUGUCAUUAUUUAGUAUGGUCAGGGCGUGAGUUGGGGUGGGCAGUCUGUUUGUUUUUCUAUGAUUUGGGUAUUUCUAUGUUUCGGCCUAGUAUGGUUCUCAAUCAGAGGCAGGUGUCAAGAGUUGUCUCUGAUUGAGAAUCAUACUUAGGUAGCCUGGGUUUCACUGUGUGUUUGUGGGUGAUUGUUCCUGUCUCUGUGUUUGCACCAGAUAGAACUGUUUGGGGUUUUCACGUUUCUUGUUUUUGUAUUCAGUUGUUCAUUUGUACAUUUACGUAUUAAAAGAACCAUGGACACUUACCACGCCG